This 478-nucleotide ribosomal RNA is filed under the name uncultured bacterium. Its description in RNAcentral is "partial 16S ribosomal RNA". It matches the Rfam family "Bacterial small subunit ribosomal RNA", at positions 28 to 507 of the family's 1533-position model. The record is from RNAcentral.
GAUGAACGCUGGCGGCGUGCUUAACACAUGCAAGUCGAACGGGAAUUCUUUUAUUGAAACUUCGGUCGAUUUAAUUUAAUUCUAGUGGCGGACGGGUGAGUAACGCGUGGGUAACCUGCCUUAUACAGGGGGAUAACAGUCAGAAAUGGCUGCUAAUACCGCAUAAGCGCACAGAGCUGCAUGGCGCAGUGUGAAAAACUCCGGUGGUAUAAGAUGGACCCGCGUUGGAUUAGCUGGUUGGUGGGGUAACGGCACACCAAGGCGACGAUCCAUAGCCGGCCUGAGAGGGUGAACGGCCACAUUGGGACUGAGACACGGCCCAGACUCCUACGGGAGGCAGCAGUGGGGAAUAUUGCACAAUGGGGGAAACCCUGAUGCAGCGACGCCGCGUGAAGGAAGAAGUAUCUCGGUAUGUAAACUUCUAUCAGCAGGGAAGAUAGUGACGGUACCUGACUAAGAAGCCCCGGCUAACUACGUG